This 485-nucleotide long non-coding RNA is filed under the name Penaeus japonicus. RNAcentral's name for it is "uncharacterized LOC122263904". Lineage: Eukaryota; Metazoa; Arthropoda; Malacostraca; Decapoda; Penaeidae. The record is from RNAcentral.
GCGUCGUCACCAGCCAUUAAGUCUUGUCGUUCCCUUCAGUUCCUGUGGACGAUCGUCUAACCAUGAUUGGCCGUGGCGUGUUUCUGGCUCUGCUGGUGGUAGUGGCUCUCUCUGCCCUGGCAAUGGCCAACCCUUUGCCCGAGGCUGAGGCAAACAGGAGAUUCUUCUUCGGCCAUGGAUUAGGUGGAUUCGGUGGAUUCGGACAUGGAUUCGGUGGAUUCGGACAUGGAUAUGGCUACGGACACAGGCCUUACUAUGGAUAUUGGGGAUAAAGAAAGGGGGAAGGAUUACUCUGAUUCGGGGACAUUCUCAGCCCAUUCCGAGGAUAACGUCGGCAGAGCAUCGCAGUUCGAGGACCAACCUUCGUUCCUGCUGUGACAGCCUGGCGGCAAACCCUGGGAUGGGAUGGACUCUUCGCUACGUUAGAUAUUACGCACUCAAAUUUAUCUGUUAGCUAAAAUUGUUCAAUAAAUUGGCUGAUUUUU